GUACUCGCUUCAGCUGCACAUAUACUUAAGUUGAAAUGAUACACAGAUUAGUAAGACCCUUGCACAAGGAUGAUGUGAAAAUUCAUGACACAUUCCAUAUUUUU
This is a small nuclear RNA of Suricata suricatta (meerkat), 104 nucleotides long. The record is from Ensembl. NCBI's taxonomy places the organism in Eukaryota, Metazoa, Chordata, Mammalia, Carnivora, Herpestidae.